UACGUAGGGUGCGAGCGUUAAUCGGAAUUACUGGGCGUAAAGCGUGCGCAGGCGGUUUUGAAAGACAGGCGUGAAAUCCCCGGGCUCAACCUGGGAACUGCGCUUGUGACUACAAGACUAGAGUACGGCAGAGGGGGGUAGAAUUCCACGUGUAGCAGUGAAAUGCGUAGAGAUGUGGAGGAAUACCGAUGGCGAAGGCAGCCCCCUGGGCCAGUACUGACGCUCAUGCACGAAAGCGUGGGGAGCAAACAGG
Molecule: ribosomal RNA, 253 nt
Filed under: uncultured bacterium
Lineage: Bacteria
Also listed under: 1 other name
Description: partial 16S ribosomal RNA
Rfam family: Bacterial small subunit ribosomal RNA
Source: RNAcentral